RNAcentral lists this ribosomal RNA (406 nucleotides) under uncultured bacterium. Its description in RNAcentral is "bacterial SSU rRNA". It matches the Rfam family "Bacterial small subunit ribosomal RNA", at positions 355 to 776 of the family's 1533-position model. The record is from RNAcentral.
UGAGGGAUAUUGCACAAUGGGCGAAAGCCUGAUGCAGCAACGCCGCGUGAGGGAAGACGGUCUUCGGAUUGUAAACCUCUGUCUUCGGUGACGAACAAAUGACGGUAGCCGGGGAGGAAGCCACGGCUAACUACGUGCCAGCAGCCGCGGUAAUACGUAGGUGGCGAGCGUUGUCCGGAAUUACUGGGUGUAAAGGGAGCGCAGGCGGGACAGCAAGUUGGAUGUGAAAUACCGAGGCUUAACUUCGGAGCUGCAUCCAAAACUGUUGUUCUUGAGUGGAGUAGAGGCAAGCGGAAUUCCGAGUGUAGCGGUGAAAUGCGUAGAUAUUCGGAGGAACACCAGUGGCGAAGGCGGCUUGCUGGGCUCUAACUGACGCUGAGGCUCGAAAGUGUGGGGAGCAAACAGG